GUGUCUCCUUCCAACAGCACAUCACCCCAAAAGCAAUAUGUGAAAAAGUGGGUAUAUGGGUUGGAAUAAGGUAAAGAAAGGAAUUUCAAGCUCCAUACCAUGGCAUGAGAGACCCAGAAGACCAGGCAAUCUCUUCCUGAAUUCUUGACCUGCAGAAACAGAUUUUGUAGCUGGAAUAUGCUG
Molecule: long non-coding RNA, 183 nt
Organism: Mustela erminea (ermine)
Lineage: Eukaryota; Metazoa; Chordata; Mammalia; Carnivora; Mustelidae
Exons: 3
Source: RefSeq, a predicted model, not a curated record